This 983-nucleotide long non-coding RNA is filed under the name Prunus dulcis (almond). RNAcentral's name for it is "sRNA ncRNA". The record is from RNAcentral. Lineage: Eukaryota; Viridiplantae; Streptophyta; Magnoliopsida; Rosales; Rosaceae.
CUCCCUUAUUGCCACUACAAACCAAAGAGAGUAACCUUUGAACUUUCUUCAUCUCAAAAUCUCUUUAAGCCUCUGUUUAAUAUCUCUGUGUCAAAAAAGAGUUAUGGGAGGCAACAACAGGCAGAAAACACCCUCCUCCUCCUCAUUCUUCAGCUUGUUCAAGUCGAGGAGGCCUCGCAGGGGAGGUGACAAGUUAGCCAUAUCCGCCCUUGUGGUGGAGGAUUCGUAUACGAGUGUAGGAAGGGUGUGGCAUAGUGUGGAGGACAGAGGUCGGUGGGUAGCUGAGCCCGGCAUUGACGACAAAGCUGCUGCUUUCAUUGACAGAAUACACAAGAAGAUUGCGUCAGAAUCUGAUGUCCAACCUCAACUGUCUGUAAACCCAACUGGAAAUGCCUGAGCUGCGUUAGUGUAUUAUAAUGUUAUUUUAUUCAAAAAAGUUGUAUCUAGUUUGUGAAUCACUAUAAUAAAUGUAUUAAGUAUUUGUCUGUUCAUUAAAGCUCUCAUAAGUACAGAUUAUGCCUACCAUUGUCGGACGUACACUACCAUUAUGCUCUCAUAAGUAACACUAGUGUAAGUCCGACAACGAUAAUUAGUAACUUAAUGUACAAUAAUCUGUUAUCAAUGAUUAUAAAAUCUCCAAAUCUUCCCCAUUUCUGCAAUCAAUAUCGUGGUUUUAAGAAAUUCAGGUUGCCUUGCCUUUUGAUAUGCAAUCUGCAACUUGGUUUUUGAGCUUGUUAAAUAAACUAAGGUUAAUAGUUAAAUUUUGUUUGGAUGUGCAAGUAUAUUAUAAUUUUUAAAGAGCACAGAGUCCUUUAGAUUUGUGACCCUCAACAUUCCCUUCACAUAAUAUUCUCUCAGGUAGUUUCAGAACAAUUGUACAACAAAGUUUGAUGUCCCCUUGAGCUCUUUUUGUACAGAGGAGGCCUACUUUUGGCUUGAAAAACGAUUCGAUACAACGGCGUGUACAAGAUAUUUUUCUAAAG